AUUGAACGCUGGCGGCAGGCCUAACACAUGCAAGUCGAGCGGAGCGGCGGACGGGUGAGUAAUGCCUAGGAAUCUGCCUGGUAGUGGGGGAUAACGUCCGGAAACGGGCGCUAAUACCGCAUACUAUCAGAUGAGCCUAGGUCGGAUUAGCUAGUUGGGGGGGUAAAGGCCUACCAAGGCGACGAUCCGUAACUGGUCUGAGAGGAUGAUCAGCCACACGGGGAGUGAGACACGGCCCAGACCCCUAGUGGAGGCAGCAGUGGGGAAUACUGCACAAGGGGGGCAAGUGUGAGGCAGCCAUGCCGCGUGUAUGAAGAAGGCCUUAGUGGUGAAAAUUACUUGCAGCGGGGAGGCGUUACCCGCAGAAGAAGCACCGGCUAACUCCGUGCAAGCAGCCGCGGUAAUA
Molecule: ribosomal RNA, 406 nt
Filed under: uncultured bacterium
Lineage: Bacteria
Description: partial 16S ribosomal RNA
Rfam family: Bacterial small subunit ribosomal RNA
Source: RNAcentral